CAACUUCCCAGACCCCGAUUCUGUGUUUCCCCUCCAAUUCCCCUGCUCCCCCUCCUCCCAGAAAUGGAGGAAACUGCGAGGCCAUGGUGAUGCUGCCUUGUUUAGUAAAAGAAAAUGUGAAAAAGAUUAAGGCGGAUCAAUCAAAAUGUCAGCCUGAUCUUGAACUGUUGGAAAAGAAGCCUUGUUUUUAUUCAAGUGUGUCACAAAGACCUGGGUGACCUUGUUUUGCAAGUGAAAACCUUUGACUGUGACAUAGGCAUGCUUCUUGUGUCCAGCUCUUAUUUAGCAAAUAAACUAAAAGUACUGCCUAUGUUUAUGGUAAACAACUGAUUUGGUUCUACUAAAAAAAAAUAAUAAAAAAACAAUUACAGCUGGAUAAUGUAGAACCAGAUUAGGUUUCUUUUAUAUUUGUUGUCACCAAAUGCUCCCAAUCUUUCUGAGCUCUGAGGCUCGUUAAGUAGAUGUUUUAAAAUGGUGCAACAGACAACGCAGCUGUAUUUCAUUUGUAGAUAAUUGAUGCAAUACAUGUAAUAACCCAACUGGAUAUGUUGACUCAUGAGCUAAUUUAGGUGUAGAUGUUACAGCACUUGUGCAGCUGGAAAUGUUGCCAUCACACAAAUCAGUUGCAGAUUAAUGGAGUCAGGUCCCUGUCUGCACUAGGAAGAGAUAAAAGGACACAGUCAAAUAUAAAAACAAGUUCUGAAGAGUUAUUGUUACCUGCACCCCUUGCCUCCUUUGCCUUAUCUUUGAAAAAAGGUGACCAGGUGAAGCACAAGAUGAAGCACAAGAAUGGAGAUUUUAAGGAGCACUCCAGAGAGGUCAAAAGGGUGGGUAACACUAUGAGUUAUAGAUAUGCAGCAACUGGCCUUAACCUGAAACCAUGUUAGGAUGACUGGUGUGUGUAGAAUCACAUCAGUUCCAGAACAUGGAGUUCAACUCCAUGAUGCUUCAAAGCAAUGGUUUCUAUUUCAAUGCAAAUUUGACAAAGAUAGAUGUUAAUCACACUCCUUAACGAAGAACCAGAGGCAUAAAAGUGAGUAGUGUGGCAUAUGAAUCCC
This 1058-nucleotide long non-coding RNA is filed under the name Anas platyrhynchos platyrhynchos (common mallard). Its description in RNAcentral is "lncRNA (ENSAPLG00000025141.1)". The record is from RNAcentral. Lineage: Eukaryota; Metazoa; Chordata; Aves; Anseriformes; Anatidae.